CUCUUUGUGGGUUUGCCUUGGCGUUCUCCAGCGGUAGAGAAAAUGCCCCAGUUAAUUUUCCCAUCCCAAUAAUAGCAGAAGGGUCGACUUUAGUGGUCACUUGAAGCCCUUCUUUUUUCAGUAGGAGGAUCCUGUAUGUUUGAUCUAGAUUCGGUCUCCCGCUGGACAGGCCUAAACAAUUUAAAACAAACAGCACUAACAGGAAAUCUUCUUAGGGUCAGGAAUGCAACGAAAAUAGCUCUAAGUCUUUAAUUCCAGGAGCUGCAAUUCACCACUUGGCUGCUUGGUCUGAGUUUUUAGAGGAACAAUGGGUCCUGUUCAGCACUAGAACACCCUGACUUUCUUUCCAGGAUUUUUGAAGGGUAUGUGCUUUGGUAUCUGAAUUAUAGCAGAAAAAAACACCAGUUCCUCUGGUAGAGAUGGAGUUUGGACCAUUAUGAGGUUUCUGUUCCCUGGGUUGCAUCUUCCAGAAGACUGUGGUUUUGAGUCACCUAGGAGAUGAGUGAGUUUGCAAGAUCUGCCUUUCUGCCCAGCAAAGAAACAAGCAGGAAGGAAUAUAUUGAAAAGAGAGAGGGACCAUUCAGCCUACCUGAUGGAGAACAGCACAGGGAUGCAGCAGGGCUAGUUCACAGUUCUUGCAGCCUAUAUAGCCAAGAAGACUGUACUUCAUUGUGAAUGGGGCCAAGCUGUGUUAUCCUGAAGCCCAGAGGGGUCGGCCAAUAUUUGGAGAUGAAUAAACCCUGGAAAUGUCCAGAACUGCUGAUACUCUUGGAUCUGCCAAGUUUUGAGAUGAACCGACAAUGUCUGUGCAUGUGCAUGUGUGUGUAUGUGUAUGCAAGUGUGUGUAUUUGCAGCAAAAAUACACAGAGGGCACUCAUUGGGUCAGAAGGACUGGCUAAUCAGAAACACAUUUUGAAUAUGGCAGCAGACAUAUUCUGACCGGCACCUCAUGAAGCCAAACACCGUGUCAUUGGGUUUACUACUCCCCUUACAACUAUCCCUCUGUACUCUUGAGUUGGAACAUUUCUUCCUCCUACUUUUUUGCCUCCUAGAAGAAAGAAGAAAGAAAGAAAGAAGGAAGAAAGAAGAAUGGAAGAAGAAAGAAGAAGGAAAGAAGAAAGAUACAGAGCCUCUAGGGCCAGAAUAUCUUGAAUACGGAAUAAAAAUGAUGAAUAGACCAUUUUGCCAAAUCAGUUCAUCAUGAGAAUUAGCCAACAGAGUAACCAACAAGAACAACAUGGUGAUGAGAAUCUUGCUUCUAGCAUGUAGGAAGGGCAAGGGAAAUUUUCCUAUAAUAUUCGGAUACUAUUCUAUUUGUGUUCCUAUCAUUAACAAGUAACAGUAAUGCAUGCGCAGAGGGUAGGUUGGUUUCAUUCCUAGAAAAGAAGGUGAAAGGGAAGCUAGAUAGCUCAGUGGUUAGAAAACCAGACCUGGAAACAGGAGGUCCUGUGUUCAAAUCUAUCCUCGGCCACUUUCUAGCUGUGUGACCCAGGGCAAGUCAGGUAACUCUAAUUGCUUUAAGCAUUACUGCUCUUUGCCUUGGAAUGUAUAUUUAUAAGAGUUUAAAAGAAAAGAAUAUGAUAAAGACUAUUGUUUAUUGUUGUCUAAGUUUAUAUGUCUUGUCUGUAAGAUAAAAUACUUCAAAGAGAUCAAUUAGGUUCAUGUCAAAUAAUAAGUACCUAUGAUAUGCAGGAUGUAUUUAUUAGAUUCUGUAGUUACAAAGGUGAUAAACAAUAUCAUCCUUGACCUCAAGGAAGCCAAUAGAGUGAGUGUCUUGGAGAAGAUAUAACUUCAGAGGUUGGAAGGGUUAUUCAUCUCUGAUACUCAUUCCCCCACAUUUAGCAGAUGGUUAGGUGAUAUGUUACCUCCAAAUCCUUGAAAGCUAAAAACAAACCCCAACUCAUAACUUUUGACUUCAAGGAUGUUUUAUUGAAAGGAAGAGUGGAUAGAGCACUAGAUCUGGAGUCAGAAAGACCCAAGUUCAAAUCUUGCCUCAGAUACUUACUAGUUGUGUGAUGCUGGAUAAGUUAUUUAACCCUAUUUGCCUCAGUUUCCCCAUCUAUAAAACAAGGGAGGGAAGGAAAUGGCAAACCAGUAUCUUUGACAAGAAAACCUCCAAUGGGUUCAUAAAGAGUUGGGCAUGACUUAAAGAAUGAAGAACAAUACAAGGGUUUUAUUGAAGGACAUAGCACAGCUGGCUGGGU
This 2204-nucleotide long non-coding RNA is filed under the name Monodelphis domestica (gray short-tailed opossum). Its description in RNAcentral is "lncRNA (ENSMODG00000030177.2)". Lineage: Eukaryota; Metazoa; Chordata; Mammalia; Didelphimorphia; Didelphidae. The record is from RNAcentral.